This 759-nucleotide ribosomal RNA is filed under the name uncultured bacterium. RNAcentral describes it as "bacterial SSU rRNA". It matches the Rfam family "Bacterial small subunit ribosomal RNA", at positions 8 to 794 of the family's 1533-position model. The record is from RNAcentral.
AGAGUUUGAUCCUGGCUCAGGACGAACGCUGGCGGCGUGCCUAACACAUGCAAGUCGAGCGAGGUGUAUACACCUAGCGGCGGACGGGUGAGUAACACGUGGGUAACCUGCCUCAGAGAGGGGAAUAGCCUUCCGAAAGGAAGAUUAAUACCGCAUAAUAUACGCAUUUAGCAUUAUGAGCGUAUCAAAGGAGAAAUCCGCUUUGAGAUGGGCCCGCGGCGCAUUAGCUAGUUGGAGAGGUAACGGCUCACCAAGGCGACGAUGCGUAGCCGACCUGAGAGGGUGAUCGGCCACAUUGGAACUGAGACACGGUCCAGACUCCUACGGGAGGCAGCAGUGGGGAAUAUUGCACAAUGGGGGAAACCCUGAUGCAGCAACGCCGCGUGAAUGAUGAAGGCCUUCGGGUCGUAAAGUUCUUUGAUUGGGGACGAUAAUGACGGUACCCAAAAAACAAGCCACGGCUAACUACGUGCCAGCAGCCGCGGUAAUACGUAGGUGGCGAGCGUUGUCCGGAUUUACUGGGCGUAAAGGAUGCGUAGGUGGAAACUUAAGUGGGAUGUGAAAUCCCCGGGCUCAACCCGGGAACUGCAUUCCAAACUGGGUUACUUGAGUGCAGGAGAGGAAAGCGGAAUUCCUAGUGUAGCGGUGAAAUGCGUAGAUAUUAGGAAGAACACCAGUGGCGAAGGCGGCUUUCUGGACUGUAACUGACACUGAGGCAUGAAAGCGUGGGGAGCAAACAGGAUUAGAUACCCCGGUAGU